CGAUCCUGGCUCAGGAUGAACGCUAGCUACAGGCUUAACACAUGCAAGUCGAGGGGAAACGACAUCGAAAGCUUGCUUUUGAUGGGCGUCGACCGGCGCACUGGUGAGUAACGCGUAUCCAACCUGCCCACCACUUGGGGAUAACCUUGCGAAAGUAAGACUAAUACCCAAUGAUAUCUCUAGAAGACAUCUGAAAGGGAUUAAAGAUUUAUCGGUGAUGGAUGGGGAUGCGUCUGAUUAG
Molecule: ribosomal RNA, 241 nt
Filed under: uncultured bacterium
Lineage: Bacteria
Description: partial 16S ribosomal RNA
Rfam family: Bacterial small subunit ribosomal RNA
Source: RNAcentral